This 538-nucleotide ribosomal RNA is filed under the name uncultured bacterium. Its description in RNAcentral is "partial 16S ribosomal RNA". It matches the Rfam family "Bacterial small subunit ribosomal RNA", at positions 356 to 887 of the family's 1533-position model. The record is from RNAcentral.
UGGGAAUUUUGGACAAUGGGGCAACCUGAUCCAGCAAUGCCGCGUGUGUGAAGAAGGCCUUCGGGUUGUAAAGCACUUUUGUCCGGAAAGAAAACGUCGUGGUUAAUACCCGUGGCGGCUGACGGUACCGGAAGAAUAAGCACCGGCUAACUACGUGCCAGCAGCCGCGGUAAUACGUAGGGUGCAAGCGUUAAUCGGAAUUACUGGGCGUAAAGCGUGCGCAGGCGGUCCGCUAAGACAGAUGUGAAAUCCCCGGGCUUAACCUGGGAACUGCAUUUGUGACUGGCGGGCUAGAGUAUGGCAGAGGGGGGUAGAAUUCCACGUGUAGCAGUGAAAUGCGUAGAGAUGUGGAGGAAUACCGAUGGCGAAGGCAGCCCCCUGGGCCAAUACUACGCUCAUGCACGAAAAGCGUGGGGGAGCAAAACAGGAUUAGAUACCCUGAUAGUCCACGCCCUAAACGAUGUCAACUAGUUGUCGGGUCUUCAUUGACUUGGUAACGUAGCUAACGCGUGAAGUUGACCGCCUGGGGAGUACGGUC